Molecule: non-coding RNA, 653 nt
Organism: Electrophorus electricus (electric eel)
Lineage: Eukaryota; Metazoa; Chordata; Actinopteri; Gymnotiformes; Gymnotidae
Source: the annotation of a RefSeq genome assembly
ACAUCAAAUUCUAAACCAACCAUGUUUGUCACAUCUACGUUGCUGUUGGUACUGGUUGCUACAUGUGUCCACUCUCAGGUUGUCCUCACCCAGUCUGAGCAAUCAGUAGCAGUCAUACCAGGUGGAUCCCACAAACUGACCUGUGCCUGCAGUGGAUUCAGUGUGGGGGGUGCUUACAUGCACUGGAUCCGUCAGGCUCCUGGAAAAGGACUAGAAUGGAUCAUUUACUAUUAUUCUGAUUCUUACAAGAGCACAGCCCAGGCAGUACAGGGCAGGUUCACAGCAUCUAAGGACAGCUCUAAUUUCUACCUGCAUAUGAGUCAACUGAAGCCAGAAGACUCUGCUGUGUAUUACUGUGCUAGAGAGUCACAGUGAGAGAGGACAGAGGGAAAGCUGUACAAAAACACUUCCUCAUUCAUAUCAGUGUAGAUGAAAAUGAAGAGAUCUCAGACAGAGUAAAAUAUUUCACUUUUUCAUGUUAUGAUGUCAAACAUUCCAGUGACAUGAAACUGUUGUGAAAUGCUGUGUGUGUGUGUGUGUGUGUGUGUGUGUGUGUGUGUGUGUGUGUGUGUUGUGUGAAUGCUGACCUCAUUAAGGAAAACCAUGUGAUUAUCUUAACAUGCUUUUGUUACAAUUAUUUUGAAUCUCUUGCU